AACGCGAAGAACCUUACCUGGGUUUGACAUGUACGGAAAUCCGGCAGAGACGUCGGGUCCGCAAGGGUCGUACACAGGUGGUGCAUGGUUGUCGUCAGCUCGUGUCGUGAGAUGUUGGGUUAAGUCCCGCAACGAGCGCAACCCUCGUCCUAUGUUGCCAGCGAGUCAUGUCGGGGACUCAUAGGAGACUGCCGGGGUCAACUCGGAGGAAGGUGGGGAUGACGUCAAAUCAUCAUGCCCCUUAAGUCCAGGGCUGCACACAUGCUACAAUGGCCGGUACAAAGGGCUGCGAUACCGCAAGGUGGAGCGAAUCCCAAAAAGCCGGUCUCAGUUCGGAUUGGGGUCUGCAACUCGACCCCAUGAAGUCGGAGUCGCUAGUAAUCGCAGAUCAGCAACGCUGCGGUGAAUACGUUCCCGGGCCUUGUACACACCGAUAGC
Molecule: ribosomal RNA, 438 nt
Filed under: uncultured bacterium
Lineage: Bacteria
Description: bacterial SSU rRNA
Rfam family: Bacterial small subunit ribosomal RNA
Source: RNAcentral